UACGGAGGUGGCAAGCGUUGUUCGGAUUUAUUGGGUGUAAAGGGCAGGUAGGUGUCCUAGUAAGUUCUGGUUGAAAUCCUUCGGCUCAACCGGAGAACUGGUCAGAAAACUGCUAGGAUUGAGUGCGGGAGAGGAGAGCGGAAUUCCCGGUGUAAGGGUGAAAUCUGUAGAGAUCGGGAAGAACACCAGUGGCGAAAGCGGUUCUCUAGACCGUAACUGACACUGAACUGCGAAAGCUAGGGGAGCAAACAGG
This 253-nucleotide ribosomal RNA is filed under the name uncultured bacterium. Its description in RNAcentral is "partial 16S ribosomal RNA". It matches the Rfam family "Bacterial small subunit ribosomal RNA", at positions 524 to 776 of the family's 1533-position model. The record is from RNAcentral.